UCGAGCGGCAGCGCGGAUGUAGCAAUACAUCUGGCGGCGAGCGGCGGACGGGUGAGGAAUGCGUCGGAAUCUGCCUCUUUGUGGGGGAUAACGUAGGGAAACUUACGCUAAUACCGCAUACGACCUACGGGUGAAAGUGGGGGACCGCAAGGCCUCACGCAGAGAGAUGAGCCGACGCCUGAUUAGCUAGUUGGCGGGGUAAAGGCCCACCAAGGCGACGAUCCGUAGCUGGUCUGAGAGGAUGAUCAGCCACACUGGAACUGAGACACGGUCCAGACUCCUACGGGAGGCAGCAGUGGGGAAUAUUGGACAAUGGGCGCAAGCCUGAUCCAGCCAUGCCGCGUGUGUGAAGAAGGCCUUCGGGUUGUAAAGCACUUUUGUCCGGAAAGAAAAGCAUUCGGUUAAUAACCGGGUGUCAUGACGGUACCGGAAGAAUAAGCACCGGCUAACUUCGUGCCAGCAGCCGCGGUAAUACGAAGGGUGCAAGCGUUACUCGGAAUUACUGGGCGUAAAGCGUGCGUAGGUGGUUCGUUAAGUCUGAUGUGAAAGCCCUGGGCUCAACCUGGGAAUGGCAUUGGAUACUGGCGACCUAGAGUGCGGUAGAGGGGUGUGGAA
RNAcentral lists this ribosomal RNA (615 nucleotides) under uncultured bacterium. Its description in RNAcentral is "bacterial SSU rRNA". It matches the Rfam family "Bacterial small subunit ribosomal RNA", at positions 62 to 666 of the family's 1533-position model. The record is from RNAcentral.